Molecule: ribosomal RNA, 197 nt
Filed under: uncultured bacterium
Lineage: Bacteria
Description: partial 16S ribosomal RNA
Rfam family: Bacterial small subunit ribosomal RNA
Source: RNAcentral
ACGCUCGACACCUACGGGAGGAGCAGUGGGGAAUAUUGCACAAUGGGGGAAACCCUGAUGCAGCGACGCCGCGUGAGCGAAGAAGUAUUUCGGUAUGUAAAGCUCUAUCAGCAGGGAAGAAACUGACGGUACCUGACUAAGAAGCACCGGCUAAAUACGUGCCAGCAGCCGUGGUAAUCUGAGCGGGCUGGCAAGGC